RNAcentral lists this RNase P RNA (397 nucleotides) under marine eukaryotic metagenome. RNAcentral describes it as "Bacterial RNase P class A". It matches the Rfam family "Bacterial RNase P class A". Rfam says of the family: Ribonuclease P (RNase P) is a ubiquitous endoribonuclease, found in archaea, bacteria and eukarya as well as chloroplasts and mitochondria. Its best characterised activity is the generation of mature 5'-ends of tRNAs by cleaving the 5'-leader elements of precursor-tRNAs. The record is from RNAcentral.
AGGCCGGUGGGCGGUCGCUGGUCAGUAGCAAUGCUGACGAGAGGAAAGUCCGGACGCCACAGGGUAGGGUGCUCUUUAAUGAAGAGCGGGGGUAACCCCAGGGAAAGUGCCACAGAAAAUAUACCGCUAAUCUUAAUGGCUUGCCGUUGAGACAGUAAGGGUGAAAUGGUGAGGCAAGAGCUCACCGCGGUGGUGGUGACAUCACCGGCAUGGUAAACCCCACCCGGCGCAAGGCCAAAUAGAGAGGCGUGGCAGAAGUUUUUAUUCUGCAAGUAGGGUACCCGCCCGAUGCCUCUGGGUAAGGCCGCUGAUGAUCGUGACCGGCAACGGCGCGGCUAGAUGAAUGACCGCCGUCACCCAUUAUGGUUGUAACAGAAUCCGGCUUAUAACCGGCCUU